This 259-nucleotide ribosomal RNA is filed under the name uncultured bacterium. RNAcentral describes it as "partial 16S ribosomal RNA". It matches the Rfam family "Bacterial small subunit ribosomal RNA", at positions 96 to 353 of the family's 1533-position model. The record is from RNAcentral.
CGGCGGACGGGUGAGUAACGCGUGGGUAACCUGCCUCAUACAGGGGGAUAACAGUUGGAAACGGCUGCUAAUACCGCAUAAGCGCACAGCUUCGCAUGAAGCGGUGUGAAAAACUCCGGUGGUACAAGAUGGACCCGCGUCUGAUUAGGUAGUUGGUGGGGUAACGGCCCACCAAGCCGACGAUCAGUAGCCGACCUGAGAGGGUGACCGGCCACAUUGGGACUGAGACACGGUCCAAACUCCUACGGGAGGCAGCAUG